GGAAAUGGUGCUGGGAUUGAGCCGCAUACUCAUCUCAAGGGAUACAUACUUGGAAACCCAGCACCGACCACUCAAGGCGAUGGAAACCAUGCAAUCCCGUUUGCUCAUAGGAUGGCGCUAAUCUCUGAUGAACUCUAUGAGUCCUUGAAAGCGACCUGUAAAGGAGAAUAUGUAAAUAUAGACCCCAGCAAUGCGCCCUGCUUGAAGAAUAUCCAGGCAUACAAUAAG
Molecule: non-coding RNA, 228 nt
Organism: Coffea arabica (coffee)
Lineage: Eukaryota; Viridiplantae; Streptophyta; Magnoliopsida; Gentianales; Rubiaceae
Source: RefSeq, a predicted model, not a curated record